This 253-nucleotide ribosomal RNA is filed under the name uncultured bacterium. Its description in RNAcentral is "partial 16S ribosomal RNA". It matches the Rfam family "Bacterial small subunit ribosomal RNA", at positions 524 to 776 of the family's 1533-position model. The record is from RNAcentral.
UACGUAGGGUGCGAGCGUUGUCCGGAAUUACUGGGCGUAAAGAGCUCGUAGGUGGUUUGUCGCGUUGUCCGUGAAAACUCACAACUCAAUUGUGGGCGUGCGGGCGAUACGGGCAGACUGGAGUACUGCAGGGGAGACUGGAAUUCCUGGUGUAGCGGUGGAAUGCGCAGAUAUCAGGAGGAACACCGGUGGCGAAGGCGGGUCUCUGGGCCGAUACUGACGCUGAGGAGCGAAAGCGUGGGGAGCGAACAGG